This 200-nucleotide ribosomal RNA is filed under the name uncultured Bacillus sp. RNAcentral describes it as "partial 16S ribosomal RNA". It matches the Rfam family "Bacterial small subunit ribosomal RNA", at positions 1185 to 1382 of the family's 1533-position model. Lineage: Bacteria; Bacillati; Bacillota; Bacilli; Caryophanales; Bacillaceae. The record is from RNAcentral.
UCAAAUCAUCAUGCCCUUAUGUUCUGGGCUACACACGUGCUACAAUGGCCGGUACAGAACGGACGCAAAGCCGCGAGGUGGAGCAAAUCCUAAAAGACCGGUCUCAGUUCGGAUUGCAGGCUGCAAUUCGCCUGCAUGAAGUCGGAAUCGCUAGUAAUCGCAGGUCAGCAUACUCGCGGUCGAAUACGUUCCCGGGCCUU